AACGAACGCUGGAGGCAGGCUUAACACAUGAAAGUCGAACGGGCGUAGCAAUACGUCAGUGGCAGACGGGUGAGUAACACGUGGGAAUAUCACUUUCAGUUCGGAAUAACUCAGGGAAACUUGAGCUAAUACCGGAUACGUCCUUCGGGAGAAAGAUUUAUCGCUGAGAGAUUAGCCCGCGUCUGAUUAGCUAGUUGGUGAGGUAAUGGCUCACCAAGGCGACGAUCAGUAGCUGGUCUGAGAGGAUGAUCAGCCACACUGGGACUGGGACACGGCCCAGAAUCACCCGGAAAGCAGCAGUGGUAGAUAUUGGACAAUGGGGGAAACCCUGAUCCAGCCAUGCCGCGUGACUGAUGAAGGCCUUAGGGUUGUAAAGCUCUUUUGGCAGGGAAGAUAAUGACUGUACCUGGAGAAUAAGCCCCGGCUAACUUCGUGCCAGCCGCCGCCGUAA
Molecule: ribosomal RNA, 451 nt
Filed under: uncultured bacterium
Lineage: Bacteria
Description: partial 16S ribosomal RNA
Rfam family: Bacterial small subunit ribosomal RNA
Source: RNAcentral